CACAGGAAAAAUAGGAGAGUAAUUUUUUCGGAGUUAACAUCAUUUUCAUCUAAAAGAGUCCUGUUUAUACAUUAAAGAGUGAAAUCAUUUCCAUUGGUCAAUAGAAUCGGAGUAAAAAAAUAGAGGAAAUUAUAUCGGAGUAAAACAAGAACACGCCCACUGAAGUUCCUUAAGUUUCGUUUCUUCCACCAUCUUGUUAUCCUGCAGUGGAAACGGAGGCAACGAUUAGCUGUGUGCCAGGAUGCAAGCUGUGCGUGUCAAAUACAGAGAUCGACAGAAAUACAUCUGUUUUGAAGGCCAACUGACUUACAGUUCGUUUUUGGAAUGUGCUGCAAAAAAGUUCAGCAUCCCAACCUUGGACUUAAAAGUCUUUGAUGACUCAAAGACUGAAGUGGAUGAGGAUGUUUUUGAGCUCCUUUUGAAAGGUCCGAACCUUGGUGUGCUAGAGAUUUGUGAAGCACAAAAUCUCAAUUCAGAAGAUAAUCCUAUGGAUCAGCUAAGUUGUGCAGCAAGCAGCUCCUUUACCAGUUCCAGUGGAGAAACUGAAGUGGAGUCCGAUGACACCAUUAUAUUGCAACACAGUCCUGCAACAAGACAGAGAGCUGAAGACACCUCUCUUGCCCACAUGAUUGAAAAUGUUCUAAAGAACAAACCAGGAGGAGACAGGAUCAUCAAUGAAUAUGCGCGGACAAAAAGCCUAACAGACGGCGUGACAUGGUCAAGAUAUUGGUUGCGCAUAUGACAAGUGAACAUGGGACAAGUCCUUCCAGAUGUGUAAAAGAAGACUAUGCAAAGGGUAUUAUUACCUUGUUCCCUUACUUGGCUGAUCCUAAGAGCAGAUUUGGCUAUAGUUCAUCGUUCCAGUGUUGGGCUACUACAGCUUGAAGCAUAAACAUUGUGAAGAGAUUUUAUCUAUGUAAUUCAAACAAUGUGAAAUAAAAUCUGUAAAUCACAGCUACUAGCAUUCACGGUUGUCUUUGCUUUCACAGCUUUAAAAACAUUUAUCAUUCACCUACUUUUAGGAGCAUUAUUAUAAUGCAGAAGAUGGAAGUGGGUAUCUGGCUUGGAGACUGAAGUUUGUCCAGAGGGAAGCUUCUAAUGGACAAAAGAAGGUCCCCAGACUGUCACGAACCCAAACAGGGGGACCAACAACUGAUAGAGACUAUUUGAGAGAAGAAGACUGCCUUAUGACAGAUAGCUUGUGUUCUGAGGCCAUUGCGCUGCUGAUGAAGGAACUGUUAUGAGGAAGAUGAAACAGACUUUCAACUAUCGCCAGAAGAUGAUUCAUGACCCAGUGAAGUCAUCUAGUAUCUUUUUGGACUUCCCAAGAUUCCUGGACGUAGGAGGAUUGGUUGAGCAAGAUUUUACAUUGAUGUUUGGGGAAGCCAUCUCUGCAAAGUUCCUGGAGAAGUGGCCCACUG
Long non-coding RNA from Xiphophorus couchianus (Monterrey platyfish), 1421 nucleotides. RefSeq lists it as uncharacterized. The record is from RefSeq and is a predicted model, not a curated record. The transcript is spliced from 9 exons. NCBI's taxonomy places the organism in Eukaryota, Metazoa, Chordata, Actinopteri, Cyprinodontiformes, Poeciliidae.